UUGAUUACGUCCCUGCCCUUUGUACACACCGCCCGUCGCUGCCCGGGACUGAGCCAUUUCGAGAAAUUUGGGGACCGUUGAUUUAAUUUUUCUAAAUUACUUUGAUGGAAACCAAUUUAAUCGCAGUGGCUUGAACCGGGCAAAAGUCGUAACAAGGUAGCUGUAGGUGAACCUGCUGCUGGAUCAUUACUUUAUGUGAUGUUCAAAUUUGAAUUCGCAAUGAAAUAAUCGCUGUGAAACGGCUGUCGCUGGUGUCUAUGUGUUGCUGAUACAGUUGUGAACGUCCGUGGCUGUAUAUGUGGUGACAUGUUAGGACUCUAAUUACCGAGUUUAAGACUUAAUGAGCCUCUUAAGUGAGGACGCCAGCAAUCUUUUUUCUCUAUAUUUUAUAAAAAAACAAAAUUUCUAGCCUUAUCGGUGGAUCACUCGGCUCGUGGAUCGAUGAAGAACGCAGCAAACUGCGAUAAUUUGUGCGAACUGCAGAAACCUUGAGCACAAAAGUUUUGAACGCAUAUUGCCGCAUUGGGGUCAAACCCUUUGCUACGUCUGGUUCAGGGUCAUUUUCUUUUAAAGCGAAAGCUUUAAUUUAUAUAUGCUAUUGAUGCUUUAUAUUUUAAGAGGUUUGUUGUUUGUCAUAAUUUUAUAAAUAUAACUACAAAAAUCAAGCAACUUUGACCUGAACUCAGUCGAGAGCACCCGCUGAACUUAAGCAUAUCAUUUAGCGGAGGA
RNAcentral lists this ribosomal RNA (729 nucleotides) under Meloidogyne inornata. Its description in RNAcentral is "eukaryotic LSU rRNA". The stretch from base 1 to 189 matches the Rfam family "Eukaryotic small subunit ribosomal RNA", at positions 1641 to 1831 of the family's 1831-position model. The record is from RNAcentral. Lineage: Eukaryota; Metazoa; Nematoda; Chromadorea; Rhabditida; Meloidogynidae.